Long non-coding RNA from Oryza sativa Japonica Group (Japanese rice), 838 nucleotides. RefSeq lists it as uncharacterized. The record is from RefSeq and is a predicted model, not a curated record. Lineage: Eukaryota; Viridiplantae; Streptophyta; Magnoliopsida; Poales; Poaceae.
CCAGCCUUAGGUUGGUCGCGGCAAUUACGGCGUUGCGCGCGACAGCGACCCCCGCGACGAGCCUGCGCGCGUCGGCCGAGCGUGACGAUUAGCGCCCUGGCCAAGAAGGCGAGCAGACCCGAUGGUCAACCACUUGUCGAUUUGCUGUUUCAAACGAAACGAAAACUGAGCCGGAGGCCCCAGCAUUGUCUUUGACGCCUGCAUUGACUUCAACUGAUGGAGCUCAUCAAAGCCGCUCCUUGCUGCUAUGGAGAACUCAACUCCGCUAAUUGCGCAUAUGCCAGGGGUGCCAACGAGGAGGCUGUCCAAAGCACUCCAACUCCGUCACCGCUUCUGAAGGAGUUCAUCAGUUCAAUCGCUGUGGCUGGGUAGACUGCUUCAGCAAUGAGCUUGGGAAUGGGAUUUUGGGGGUGGGGGGGGGGGGGCGAACCCCAAGAUUGGGUGGCAGCAGCAGAUACUCAAUCUGGAGGUUUAUUUGAAGAGUACGGAGCUUGUGCGUGAGCAAAUCAUUACUGCGCUAGAAGAUCUGAGGUCUUCUUCUGUUGUAGAGUGUGGCAUUAGUUUAUGCAUGUAUUAUAACAUUCCGAUUUGUAUUCUUGGAUCUAGCUUAGCUGCAGGUAGUUGCCCAUAAGGUUAGAGGUCAGAACAUUGAUAUGUAGAUGAAAUGAGGGUCAAAGCUGGUCAAAACCUGUAGCUACUUUGUGAUGUGAUCUAUCUUAUAAUUUUGAGAUGCACUUAUCAGAAAAUUGAAAUGGACCUUUAUCAAAAGCGGUGAUCAUUUCAGGUUUGAACAAUGUAUGUCUAUGUAAUAGACAGUCUAUAUUUAUGUCUUCGAUAA